AUUGAACGCUGGCGGCAGGCCUAACACAUGCAAGUCGAGCGGAUGAAGGGAGCUUGCUCCUGGCUUCAGCGGCGGACGGGUGAGUAAUGCCUAGGAAUCUGCCUGGUAUUGGGGGAUAACGUCCGGAAACGGGAGCUAAUACAGCAUACGUCCAGAGGGAGAACGUGAGGGAUCUUCGGACCUCACGCUAUCAGCUGACCCUAGGUCGGAUUAGCUAGUUGGUGGGGUAAAGGCCUACCAAGGCGACGAUCCGUAACUGGUCUGAGAGGAUGAUCAGUCACACUGGAACUGAGACACGGUCCAGACUCCUACGGGAGGCAGCAGUGGGGAAUAUUGGACAAUGGGCGAAAGCCUGAUCCAGCCAUGCCGCGUGUGUGAAGAAGGUCUUCGGAUUGUAAAGCACUUUAAGUUGGGAGGAACGGCAGUAAGUUAAUACCUUGCUGUUUUGACGUUACCAACAGAAUAAGCACCGGCUAACUUCGUG
Molecule: ribosomal RNA, 484 nt
Filed under: uncultured bacterium
Lineage: Bacteria
Description: partial 16S ribosomal RNA
Rfam family: Bacterial small subunit ribosomal RNA
Source: RNAcentral